This 465-nucleotide ribosomal RNA is filed under the name uncultured Klebsiella sp. RNAcentral's name for it is "bacterial SSU rRNA". It matches the Rfam family "Bacterial small subunit ribosomal RNA", at positions 338 to 795 of the family's 1533-position model. The record is from RNAcentral. Lineage: Bacteria; Pseudomonadati; Pseudomonadota; Gammaproteobacteria; Enterobacterales; Enterobacteriaceae.
CCUACGGGCGGCAGCAGUGGGGAAUAUUGCACAAUGGGCGCAAGCCUGAUGCAGCCAUGCCGCGUGUGUGAAGAAGGCCUUCGGGUUGUAAAGCACUUUCAGCGGGGAGGAAGGCGGUGAGGUUAAUAACCUCAUCGAUUGACGUUACCCGCAGAAGAAGCACCGGCUAACUCCGUGCCAGCAGCCGCGGUAAUACGGAGGGUGCAAGCGUUAAUCGGAAUUACUGGGCGUAAAGCGCACGCAGGCGGUCUGUCAAGUCGGAUGUGAAAUCCCCGGGCUCAACCUGGGAACUGCAUUCGAAACUGGCAGGCUAGAGUCUUGUAGAGGGGGGUAGAAUUCCAGGUGUAGCGGUGAAAUGCGUAGAGAUCUGGAGGAAUACCGGUAGCGAAGGCGGCCCCCUGGACAAAGACUGACGCUCAGGUGCGAAAGCGUGGGGAGCAAACAGGAUUAGAUACCCUAGUAGUC